Molecule: long non-coding RNA, 1023 nt
Filed under: Cyanistes caeruleus (blue tit)
Lineage: Eukaryota; Metazoa; Chordata; Aves; Passeriformes; Paridae
Description: lncRNA (ENSCCEG00000016649.1)
Source: RNAcentral
UGUACUGCUUUAGGGUAUAACUCUAAAACUCCAUAGCUUGUCAUCUACUGUUCUCCCUGUCUAUUCAGAUAAAACAAUUCUUCUAGGCCUGUAACUCAAGGACACCCUACUGCCCCAGGGCCUGAAAAGUAUAAACAAAAAUGAAUUAGGGGAGGAACAAACUGGGGGUAUAUUAUUUCAUUACCUGAAGCUGUAAUUGGAGGAUUAAUCCCUGAUAUGUAAAUAGACCAAACUUAUAAUUGUCUAAAAAAUUCAUGACCGUUGUCCAUCUUGGGUGUAGCCCCUCUUCGGAGGCUUUUGACUGCCCAAGGUGUACCUAUUGAAGGCCUUUAAUAAAUACUCACUUUAUUCUCUUAAUCUUGUCUAGCCUCUGUUCUAGGUAGCCACUCCAAGGCAUCAGCUCAUGUAAAACGCUGUAUGCAAAAAUGAAAUGUCAAAAUGCUCCAGGAACCUGAGCCUGUGUUAACCACAUACACUAUUCACCUUCCCUUCAAGAAUCAGCACAGGAAUGCAUAACCCAAGUAACCAGAACAAGCAUCUGAGAACUCAUGUGUUUUUUGAUAUGUCUGAUGAGAAUGGAAAAGCUCUGCAUGUCCUCACUCAUGCUGUCAUAAGCAAGAGCAGCCAUCUCAGUUCUUGGAGAAGUUGUUCUGCUUAGCUGAAUUCCUUCGAGAGGAAAUUGAACCAAAACCUCUGUUCCAGAUACUGGAAAUUUACACCAGAAGGAAUGGACUCCACUUUCAUAACAUGUAAGUGAGGUUUGUACAAAUCUGACCUGCAAUACUUCAUGUGCCAUCCAUACCUUAUCCAUGAUUUUCCGGUGAGCUGUUACACACUGAUGUACAAUGGGUUUGAGCCUGAAGCGGAACAGGAUGAGAUCUUGAGCAACUGAUUUCCAGAGCAGCAACAAUGCUUUACUGGGGCUGAUUUUUGUUAAUGCUAGUAAGGAAAGAUUAAAAUGAAUGCCUUUCAUUAAAACCAAAAUCAACAGCUAUUAGCUAGUUGUAGUUAUUAGCUAGUUCU